AUUGAACGCUGGCGGCAGGCCUAACACAUGCAAGUCGAGCGGUAGCACAGAGAGCUUGCUCUCGGGUGACGAGCGGCGGACGGGUGAGUAAUGUCUGGGAAACUGCCUGAUGGAGGGGGAUAACUACUGGAAACGGUAGCUAAUACCGCAUAACGUCGCAAGACCAAAGUGGGGGACCUUCGGGCCUCAUGCCAUCAGAUGUGCCCAGAUGGGAUUAGCUGGUAGGUGGGGUAACGGCUCACCUAGGCGACGAUCCCUAGCUGGUCUGAGAGGAUGACCAGCCACACUGGAACUGAGACACGGUCCAGACUCCUACGGGAGGCAGCAGUGGGGAAUAUUGCACAAUGGGCGCAAGCCUGAUGCAGCCAUGCCGCGUGUGUGAAGAAGGCCUUCGGGUUGUAAAGCACUUUCAGCGGGGAGGAAGGCAUUAAGGUUAAUAACCUUAGUGAUUGACGUUACCCGCAGAAGAAGCACCGGCUAACUCCGUGCCAGCCGCCGCGGUAA
Molecule: ribosomal RNA, 504 nt
Filed under: uncultured bacterium
Lineage: Bacteria
Description: partial 16S ribosomal RNA
Rfam family: Bacterial small subunit ribosomal RNA
Source: RNAcentral